GAGUACACCAGGGAUCUAGGACCGUCCUGGAGUUCCGGACCAUCGCAGCCAGAGUCGACAGUCUACUCAAAAGCAUGUAGGAUGAAGACAAGCCAUCUCAAAGCUUCACUGAAUUUCUCAGAAUCCACAGCUCAGCUGUCUGUACAGUCAUCCUGUGACAGCUUCAUCAUCACCCUCACCUCCUCCCAGGGUUUCCCCCAGCCUGAUGUGUGGUGGAUGGACUCCAUUGGAGGAGACAUCUCCAAUUAGAGCCACGGCCGUAUCGGUCUGGACAGCAGGGGGCGCUAUGAUGUCCACAGCUCCAUGGAGGUCAGGCCAAACAGUACACUCACCAUAAUUGCUGAAAUGAGACUGGAGGUUCUCAAUCAAAGCUUCACCCACUCGCUCACCCUCCACCCUCUCCCAGAAUGCUGUGAGGUGCCUCUUACAACCGGGGGCAGACAGGCUUUGGUAUUAUUAGGGAUAGUUCUCUUAGCAGCAUUAGCAAUGCCACUCAUUUUGUACUUCAGACGCAAGCCUGAAACACACCAACACCAGCUGGUCCCACAUGACGAUACAACAGGACAAGAUGAGGCUCAUGAAACAGAGACUUGAUACAUCAUGAACAAAAACGAGUUAUAAAAGUCUAAGCUUAUAGGACUGUUUCAAUGUCACAAAUAUAGGUGUGUGUGUGUUGCUGCCUUCUGAAAUAUUUCCACUCCCUCUUGGUAAUGUAUUAUAGAGUACUGCUAGCAGUAGACUUUGCUACUCUCUGCAGCCCUAUGUAAUCCAGCCUACUUAGUUUUUUUUGGGAUGCAAAGCUGUCAUGAAGGCGAAGGGUGGCUACUUUGAAGAAUCUCAAAUAAAAAUAUAUUUUGAUU
RNAcentral lists this long non-coding RNA (860 nucleotides) under Salmo salar (Atlantic salmon). RNAcentral's name for it is "lncRNA (ENSSSAG00000114963.1)". Lineage: Eukaryota; Metazoa; Chordata; Actinopteri; Salmoniformes; Salmonidae. The record is from RNAcentral.